Molecule: ribosomal RNA, 253 nt
Filed under: uncultured bacterium
Lineage: Bacteria
Description: partial 16S ribosomal RNA
Rfam family: Bacterial small subunit ribosomal RNA
Source: RNAcentral
UACAGAGGUCUCGAGCGUUAGGCGGAAUCACUGGGCUUAAAGCGUGUGUAGGUGGAUGCCUAAGUACCUUGUGAAAUCCCACGGCUUAACCGUGGAACUGCUUGGUAUACUGGGUGUCUUGAGUCACUCAGGGGCGAGCGGAACGAAUGGUGGAGCGGUGAAAUGCGUAGAUAUCAUUUGGAACGCCAAUGGUGAAAACAGCUCGCUGGGGGUGCACUGACACUGAGACACGAAAGCCAGGGGAGCGAACGGG